This 510-nucleotide long non-coding RNA is filed under the name Medicago truncatula (barrel medic). Its description in RNAcentral is "long non-coding RNA (MTRU_LNC006123)". The record is from RNAcentral. Lineage: Eukaryota; Viridiplantae; Streptophyta; Magnoliopsida; Fabales; Fabaceae.
AUUUUCCCUUCCCCUUUCUACUUUGCUCUCAUUCCUUCUCUCUGUUCCUCACAUUUUCCAAAUUUAUAUUCUUCAAAUCAUCACAAUUUAACCAAAUCAAACACCCACAUGAAAACUAUACAUCUAAUCAAAGCUAUUUCAUAUUGCAAGCUCUCAUGGUAGAAUUUUGGGGGUUAGGGUGUGUGCUUUGAGGAAGAAGAAUAUUCAUAUUGUAAAAGGUUCUCAUUGAGACUUCUUGAAGGUAUAUUUAUCAAUUUACAACUCAAUUAGUGUAUAUUUACGCAUGAUUACUGUUAGAAAUUAAUUAUUGAGAUUAGAGUAGAUGAAAUGGGGAUUUUAUCGUUAACAUUGUUAGAGAAGUAGUAGAAUGAGUUUCUAAUUCAUGAGAAAAUAUUAUUGAUGAUCAGAUAUGACGCAAGACGUUUCAGAUGCUUCUUUUGGAGUGGUUAGAGAGCAAACUUAGCUGAUUCGUCAUAACACUGAGUUGAUAACGAUCAUUAUCGCAUAUUU